UUUAAAUCUGGUAUUUAUUUUUCCCCCUAUUGCUAGAGAAAGUAAAAAAAAAAAAUGUACUAGCCUAUUUUAUUGACCUUUUUUCUACCCCAUCUAGCUUUUGGGCUCCUUGAAGCAAUAAUAAAAGUCGAGGCGUUUUACAGAGCAGUGGCGUCCCUUCACCUGGAGUACAAUACCUGCUGGUAUGAAAUGAUAUUUCCAUCAGAGAGAUGGGUAGCUUGCCCAGAUGCUGAGCUGUGCAUUUCUAUCAGGAAAGAGCCGAUGGUGAAAUAUGUGUUGAGAGGCUUCAUUGCUCCAGAUGCUGUUCAGAAAGGGACAGGAUAGUUUGCUGCUGGGGUUAUGGACUUAUUGUGUUGCUCAUCACAUAAGACACGUGGAGCUAUUCCAGUCACCUGCUGUCUAUCUUACCUACUGCUGUAGCUAUCUGGCAGCCACAAGGCAGCUUGAAUGAUUCAGAGCAGGGGUUGGAACAACUGAAGAAACACAGAUUUCCUAAUCUGCUUUCUAAUUAAUUAAAGUUCAUAUAUGCGGUGUUGUUUCUCAAGCUGCAAAAAUCGUGUGUUGUGCAGGCUACUCUGCAAUUCCCGCUCUAUUAUGUGCUGCAUAGAGGGGAAGAUAUAUUUAUUGUUCAGCUCCACAAUACCAAUUUUAUUUUAACUCUCUUAACACUUCAGCUGUUAAAACUCAGAAAUGUUACGGUGCAACUGAAAUAGAUUCAAUUAUCUUGAAAUUCGUUGGAUACAGUUGCAUCUCGGUGUCCAUCUUUCAACUGCUGUUUGGUACUGUAUAAAUUAAGUAGCAUUAUGACAAUGACAGUAAUAUCAUGGGAGAGACCCAAGUUGUUAGUGUACAGCAUUAGAAGUAGAUUAAUCUGAUUAAGCUUUAAUAUAAAAAUAAAUUGUAUUUGCAAUUCA
This 914-nucleotide long non-coding RNA is filed under the name Numida meleagris (helmeted guineafowl). Its description in RNAcentral is "lncRNA (ENSNMEG00000018413.1)". Lineage: Eukaryota; Metazoa; Chordata; Aves; Galliformes; Numididae. The record is from RNAcentral.